UUCCGGUUGAUCCUGCCGGAGGCCACUGCUAUGGGGUCCGACUAAGCCAUGCGAGUCAUGGGGCGCCUUGCGCGCACCGGCGGACGGCUCAGUAACACGUCGGUAACCUACCCUCGGGAGGGGGAUAACCCCGGGAAACUGGGGCUAAUCCCCCAUAGGCCUGAGGUACUGGAAGGUCCUCGGGCCGAAAGGGGCUCUGCCCGCCCGAGGAUGGGCCGGCGGCCGAUUAGGUAGUUGGUGGGGUAACGGCCCACCAAGCCGAAGAUCGGUACGGGCCAUGAGAGUGGGAGCCCGGAGAUGGACACUGAGACACGGGUCCAGGCCCUACGGGGCGCAGCAGGCGCGAAACCUCCGCAAUGCGGGCAACCGCGACGGGGGGACCCCCAGUGCCGUGGCAUCGCCACGGCUUUUCCGGAGUGUAAAAAGCUCCGGGAAUAAGGGCUGGGCAAGGCCGGUGGCAGCCGCCGCGGUAAUACCGGCGGCCCGAGUGGUGGCCGCUAUUAUUGGGCCUAAAGCGUCCGUAGCCGGGCCCGUAAGUCCCUGGCGAAAUCCCACGGCUCAACCGUGGGGCUUGCUGGGGAUACUGCGGGCCUUGGGACCGGGAGAGGCCGGGGGUACCCCUGGGGUAGGGGUGAAAUCCUAUAAUCCCAGGGGGACCGCCAGUGGCGAAGGCGCCCGGCUGGAACGGGUCCGACGGUGAGGGACGAAGGCCAGGGGAGCGAACCGGAUUAGAUACCCGGGUAGUCCUGGCUGUAAAGGAUGCGGGCUAGGUGUCGGGCGAGCUUCGAGCUCGCCCGGUGCCGAAGGGAAGCCGUUAAGCCCGCCGCCUGGGGAGUACGGCCGCAAGGCUGAAACUUAAAGGAAUUGGCGGGGGAGCACUACAAGGGGUGGAGCGUGCGGUUUAAUUGGAGUCAACGCCGGG
Molecule: ribosomal RNA, 922 nt
Filed under: uncultured archaeon
Lineage: Archaea
Description: bacterial SSU rRNA
Rfam family: Archaeal small subunit ribosomal RNA
Source: RNAcentral